Molecule: non-coding RNA, 76 nt
Organism: Podarcis lilfordi (Lilford's wall lizard)
Lineage: Eukaryota; Metazoa; Chordata; Lepidosauria; Squamata; Lacertidae
Source: the annotation of a GenBank genome assembly
GGAAGGCCCAUAGCUCAGUGGGUAGGGCAUCUGCCUUACAUGCAGAAGGUCCCUGGUUCAAUCCCCGGGCUCUCCA